AGUGAACGCUGGCGGUAGGCCUAACACAUGCAAGUCGAACGGCAGCACAGUAAGAGCUUGCUCUUACGGGUGGCGAGUGGCGGACGGGUGAGGAAUACAUCGGAAUCUACUUUUUCGUGGGGGAUAACGUAGGGAAACUUACGCUAAUACCGCAUACGACCUACGGGUGAAAGCAGGGGAUCUUCGGACCUUGCGCGAUUGAAUGAGCCGAUGUCGGAUUAGCUAGUUGGCGGGGUAAAGGCCCACCAAGGCGACGAUCCGUAGCUGGUCUGAGAGGAUGAUCAGCAACACUGGAAUUGAGACACGGUCCAGACUCCUACGGGAGGCAGCAGUGGGGAAUAUUGGACAAUGGGCGCAAGCCUGAUCCAGCCAUACCGCGUGGGUGAAGAAGGCCUUCGGGUUGUAAAGCCCUUUUGUUGGGAAAGAAAAGCAGCAGGUUAAUACCCCGCUGUUCUGACGGUACCCAAAGAAUAAGCACCGGCUAACUUCGUG
RNAcentral lists this ribosomal RNA (492 nucleotides) under uncultured bacterium. Its description in RNAcentral is "partial 16S ribosomal RNA". It matches the Rfam family "Bacterial small subunit ribosomal RNA", at positions 29 to 507 of the family's 1533-position model. The record is from RNAcentral.